CCCUUAGAUGUUCUGGGCCGCACGCGCGCUACACUGAUGCAUUCAACGAGUUCUUACCUUGGCCGAGAGGCCUGGGCAAUCUUUUGAACGUGCAUCGUGAUAGGGAUAGAUUAUUGCAAUUAUUAAUCUUGAACGAGGAAUUCCUAGUAAACGCUGGUCAUCAACCAGCAUUGAUUACGUCCCUGCCCUUUGUACACACCGCCCGUCGCACCUACCGAUUGAAUGUUUCGGUGAAGAUUCCGGAUAGGACUUUUUUGAUUUAUUUCAAUUUUGUCUUAAAAGCUAUCUAAACCUCAACAUUUAGAGGAAGGUGAAGUCGUAACA
RNAcentral lists this ribosomal RNA (324 nucleotides) under uncultured eukaryote. RNAcentral's name for it is "partial 18S ribosomal RNA". It matches the Rfam family "Eukaryotic small subunit ribosomal RNA", at positions 1470 to 1796 of the family's 1831-position model. The record is from RNAcentral.